This is a long non-coding RNA of Orcinus orca (killer whale), 436 nucleotides long. RefSeq lists it as uncharacterized. The record is from RefSeq and is a predicted model, not a curated record. Lineage: Eukaryota; Metazoa; Chordata; Mammalia; Artiodactyla; Delphinidae. The transcript is spliced from 3 exons.
CUGGGGUGAUGGGGGACAGUGGAGGUGAUGUGCACGAGGACGCCUGGGGUGAUGGGGGACAGUGGAGGUGAUGUGCAUGAGGACGCCUGGGGUGACAGGGGACAGUGGAGGUGAUGUGCACGAGGACGCCUGGGGUGACGGGGGGCAGUGGAGGUGAUGCUCCAGCAUAAGAACCAGGUCCUCUCGGCCCACCUGCCCUCCUCUCCUUUCCUUCCUGCCAGCAAGCCUUCCCCUCUGCGAGCCCUCCCCUGGGCACCCCUGGCCUCGCUAGCCUCACCCCCAUCUUUCACCUCUUCUGUGACCAUCUCUGCCCAGUCGGUGCUUGAAAAGCAGCCUCUGGGGCCACCUCGGACACCCAGCUCCCUGAGGCACCUCUCAGAGUCAUCGUCCCCAAGCAAAGGGGAACUGGACUGAGAGGCUCCAACCCAGAGGCUCU